Molecule: ribosomal RNA, 253 nt
Filed under: uncultured bacterium
Lineage: Bacteria
Description: partial 16S ribosomal RNA
Rfam family: Bacterial small subunit ribosomal RNA
Source: RNAcentral
UACAGAGGUCCCGAGCGUUGUUCGGAUUCAUUGGGCGUAAAGGGUGCGUAGGUGGCAUGGUAAGUCGGGUGUGAAAUCUCAGGGCUCAACCCUGAAACUGCACUCGAUACUGUCGUGCUCGAGUACUGGAGAGGAGACUGGAAUUUACGGUGUAGCAGUGAAAUGCGUAGAUAUCGUAAGGAAGACCGGUGGCGAAAGCUAGUCUCUGGACAGUUACUGACACUGAGGCACGAAGGCCAGGGGAGCAAACGGG